Etheostoma cragini (Arkansas darter) is the source of this 168-nucleotide long non-coding RNA. RefSeq lists it as uncharacterized. Lineage: Eukaryota; Metazoa; Chordata; Actinopteri; Perciformes; Percidae. The transcript is spliced from 3 exons. The record is from RefSeq and is a predicted model, not a curated record.
UUCAUAAAUGCAUGCUAUUGGUCACCCUUUAUGUCUGUGGUUUUUACAAAUAUUUAAAUAUCAGUGAUGUGGCAAUUUUGUCUGACUUUGUCAAAGGUAAAUAGCUCAAUAAAAUGUUUUCAAAUUACUUGUUUUUCAUUUCCUGAAAAACAACAGUCUUGGACAUUU